Molecule: unclassified non-coding RNA, 587 nt
Filed under: Hevea brasiliensis (rubber tree)
Lineage: Eukaryota; Viridiplantae; Streptophyta; Magnoliopsida; Malpighiales; Euphorbiaceae
Source: RNAcentral
GUAGAUCUCUGCCCUGCCUUGCCCAUGAGGCGGUUGGGAAGACGUAUUAUUGCUUAGGCUUGUUAGGUCAUUAGGGGGAGCAGCAGCAGCAGUAAAAGUCGUAUCCUGUUCAUCGCACAUGAGAGCUAACGUUCCCGGAGAUAUUGGCCUUUCUGCUGAUACAUCAGCACCAUCCAGUCUAGAUUCAUCCCCCCUGAUACUCUCAGCCUGGAUUCCUGUUGAACAAUCAUCAGGCACAACCUUCCCAACACCUGAGGAGGGAUAAGAAGCUUUUCUGUGGUGCUUGGCCUGUUUUAAUGAAGCAUCUUUUUCAUCUGAAAGUAUCUUGGCCGCUUCCUGUGCAUAAACAAUUAAAACAGAACAAAGCUCCUUGAUGUCAUGGUUCUGGAUUAUGUCUGCUAAUAGAGACCUGUAGGUAGGCUUUGGAGGACCUAAUGCUGCUGCAUUACUAACACGAGUACUAGGAAUGGAAGACAACAAAGAUGGUGGAACUGAAGCUUUAAUCUGGUUUUCCUGUUGAAACUGACCAAGCCUAUGAACAGGGUCUUUAAUCAUUGACCCAGAGAACAGCUCCUGAGGCUUUCUAU